GGCUUUAAGUAAUGCAUUUCCUGGGAACGACAGUUGUGACAGAAGAGAAUGCUGGAACCCGUAGCAAGAUUCCUGUCUGAGAUGGAAAGAUGUCUCACUAUCAUUUUAUCAAGUGCUGUUGCUUUCAGCUAUGUAACGUUUUUCGAUCCCAUGAGAUGGAAAUCGACCAGUGCUUGCUAGAGUCCCUUCCCCUUGGCCAACGGCAGCGUCUAGUGAAGCGCAUGCGCUGUGAGCAAAUCAAAGCCUACUAUGAGCGCGAGAAGGCUUUUCAGAAGCAGGAAGGGUUCCUGAAAAGGCUGAAGCAUGCGAAGAAUCCGAAAGUUCACUUCAACCUCACGGACAUGCUACAGGACGCGAUUAUCCACCACAAUGACAAAGAAGUGCUUCGGCUCCUGAAGGAGGGGGCAGACCCCCACACCCUCGUCUCCUCGGGAGGGUCCCUGCUCCAUCUGUGUGCUCGGUAUGAUAAUGCCUUCAUUGCAGAAAUUCUGAUUGACAGAGGAGUCAACGUCAACCACCAGGAUGAAGACUUCUGGACGCCCAUGCACAUUGCCUGUGCCUGCGAUAACCCUGAUAUUGUCCUGCUUCUUGUAUUAGCUGGAGCCAAUGUCCUUCUCCAGGAUGUGAAUGGAAAUAUCCCAUUAGAUUAUGCUGUAGAAGGGACAGAAUCCAGCUCUAUCCUGUUGACCUAUCUGGAUGAAAAUGGAGUGGAUUUGACCUCACUGCGCCAGAUGAAGCUUCAGAGACCAAUGAGUAUGUUAACAGAUGUCAAACACUUCUUAUCAUCUGGAGGAAAUGUCAAUGAGAAAAACGAUGAAGGAGUAACCCUGUUACACAUGGCGUGUGCGAGUGGCUACAAGGAGGUGGUGUCUCUUAUCCUGGAACAUGGUGGAGACCUCAACAUAGUAGAUGAUCAGUACUGGACUCCCCUCCACUUGGCAGCCAAAUAUGGCCAGACAAACCUGGUGAAACUUCUCCUGAUGCAUCAGGCAAACCCACACCUCGUGAACUGUAAUGAGGAGAAGGCGUCAGAUAUUGCUGCCUCUGAGUUUAUUGAGGAAAUGCUGCUGAAAGCCGAAAUUGCCUGGGAAGAAAAAAUGAGAGAGCCUUUAUCUGCUUCUACCUUAGCUCAAGAAGAGCCCUAUGAAGAGAUCAUUCACGAUCUUCCUGUACUGUCGAGUAAGCUCAGUCCCCUGGUGUUACCAAUUGCCAAGCAAGACAGUUUGUUGGAAAAAGACAUUAUGUUCAAAGAUGCAACAAAAGGUCUGUGUAAGCAGCAGUCUCAGGACAGCAUCCCUGAAAACCCCACGAUGAGUGGUUCCACCAAACCCGAGCAGGUCAAGCUAAUGCCUCCUGCCCCAAACGAUGACCUGGCAACGCUCAGCGAGCUCAAUGACGGCAGCCUGCUCUAUGAGAUUCAGAAGCGCUUUGGGAACAAUCAGAUCUAUACAUUCAUUGGAGACAUUCUUUUGCUUGUUAACCCAUACAAGGAGCUUCCAAUUUAUUCUUCCAUGGUGUCCCAGCUGUAUUUCAGCUCCUCAGGGAAGCUGUGUUCCUCGCUGCCUCCUCACCUCUUCUCGUGUGUGGAGAGAGCCUUUCACCAGCUCUUCCGGCAACAGCGGCCUCAGUGUUUCAUCCUCAGUGGAGAAAGGGGAUCAGGAAAGUCUGAAGCCAGCAAACAAAUCAUAAGACACCUCACCUGCAGGGCUGGCGCCAGCAGGGCCACACUGGAUUCCAGAUUCAAACAUGUCAUGUGCAUCUUAGAAGCCUUUGGACACGCCAAGACCACACUUAAUGAUUUGUCCAGUUGCUUCAUCAAGUAUUUUGAACUGCAGUUCUGUGAGAGGAAACAACAGCUAACCGGAGCCAGAAUUUAUACAUAUUUGCUAGAGAAAUCCAGACUUGUUUCACAACCUCUUGGCCAGAGCAAUUUUCUCAUUUUCUACUUGUUGAUGGAUGGGUUAUCUGCUGAAGAAAAAUAUGGACUUCAUCUUAAUAAUUUAUGUGCACACCGGUAUUUGAACCAGACCAUACAGGACGAUGCAUCCACAGGGGAGCGUUCUCUGAACAGGGAGAAAUUGGCUGUUUUGAAACAAGCCCUGAAUGUAGUUGGCUUCAGCAGCUUGGAGGUGGAGAAUCUGUUCGUAAUUCUAGCAGCAAUAUUGCACCUUGGAGACAUUCGGUUUACUGCCCUGAAUGAGGGGAACUCCGCCUUCGUUUCUGACCUCCAGCUCCUGGAACAAGUGGCUGGAAUGUUACAAGUAUCAACAGAUGAAUUGGCAUCUGCCUUAACAACUGAUAUUCAAUAUUUUAAAGGGGAUAUGAUAAUACGACGACAUACCAUACAGAUUGCUGAGUUUUUCCGAGACCUCUUGGCCAAGUCCCUGUACAGUCGUUUGUUUAGCUUUUUGGUGAAUACCAUGAAUUCUUGCCUCCACAGUCAAGAUGAACAGAAAAGCAUGCAGACAUUGGAUAUUGGAAUAUUGGACAUUUUUGGUUUUGAAGAGUUUCAAAAGAAUGAAUUUGAACAACUUUGUGUCAACAUGACCAAUGAGAAGAUGCACCACUACAUCAAUGAAGUGCUUUUUCUCCACGAGCAAGUGGAAUGUGUACAAGAGGGAGUUACCAUGGAAACAGCAUAUUCUCCUGGUAACCAGAAUGGAGUUUUGGACUUUUUUUUCCAGAAGCCAUCUGGAUUUCUCACCUUAUUGGAUGAAGAAAGUCAAAUGAUUUGGUCAGUGGAAUCAAAUUUUCCAAAAAAGCUACAAAGUCUCCUAGAAUCCUCAAACACAAAUGCGGUGUACUCCCCCAUGAAGGAUGGGAAUGGGAAUGUUGCCCUCAAAGACCACGGUACAGCCUUCACCAUCAUGCACUACGCAGGAAGGGUAAUGUAUGAUGUUGUUGGGGCGAUUGAAAAAAAUAAAGACUCCCUUUCACAGAAUCUUCUAUUUGUAAUGAAAACUAGUGAAAAUGUCGUGAUCAAUCAUUUGUUCCAGUCGAAAUUGUCACAAACAGGAUCCCUCGUAUCUGCCUAUCCUUCCUUUAAAUUCCGAGGACAUAAGUCUGCCCUGCUCAGUAAGAAAAUGACAGCUUCUUCAAUUAUUGGAGAAAACAAGAAUUAUCUAGAACUUAGUAAGUUAUUAAAAAAGAAAGGAACUUCUACAUUUCUUCAAAGAUUGGAACGAGGAGAUCCAGUCACCAUAGCAUCACAACUCAGGAAAUCACUAACGGAUAUUAUUGGAAAACUUCAGAAGUGCACUCCACACUUCAUUCAUUGCAUCAGGCCCAAUAACUCAAAGCUGCCAGAUACUUUUGAUAAUUUUUACGUGUCUGCUCAGCUACAAUAUAUUGGGGUCCUGGAGAUGGUGAAGAUCUUCCGAUAUGGAUACCCUGUUCGCCUUUCCUUCUCGGAUUUCCUGUCAAGGUAUAAGCCACUGGCUGAUACAUUCCUGCGUGAGAAGAAGGAACAGUCAGCUGCCGAGCGAUGUCGACUUGUUCUCCAGCAGUGUAAAUUACAAGGCUGGCAGAUGGGAGUCCGAAAAGUGUUUCUAAAAUACUGGCAUGCUGACCAACUCAAUGAUUUGUGCCUACAGUUGCAGAGAAAAAUUAUAACCUGCCAAAAAGUUAUCAGAGGAUUUUUAGCACGCCAGCACCUGCUUCAGAAAAUGAGCAUCAGACAACAAGAGGUGACUUCUAUCAAUAGCUUUCUGCAGAACACAGAGGACAUGGGGCUGAAAACCUACGAUGCCCUGGUCAUUCAGAAUGCUUCAGACAUUGCCCGGGAAAAUGACCGGCUCCGUAGUGAAAUGAACGCUCCCUACCAUAAAGAGAAGUUAGAGGUCAGGAACAUGCAAGAGGAAGGAAGCAAAAGAACCGAUGACAAGAGUGGACCCAGGCAUUUCCACCCCAGCUCCAUGUCAGUCUGCGCGGCCGUGGAUGGCCUGGGCCAGUGGCUCGUUGCCCCGUCCAUCUGGUCUCCUUCGCUGCACUCGGUGUUCAGCAUGGAUGACAGCAGCAGCCUCCCGUCUCCACGGAAACAGCCCCCGCCCAAGCCAAAGAGGGACCCCAACACCCGGCUGAGUGCUUCCUAUGAGGCCGUGAGCGCCUGUCUCUCCGCGGCCAGGGAAGCGGCCAACGAAGCUCUGGCCCGGCCCAGACCGCACAGCGACGACUACAGCACCAUGAAGAAGAUUCCUCCUCGAAAGCCCAAGCGCAGCCCCAACACCAAGCUCAGCGGCUCCUACGAGGAGAUAUCGGGGUCCCGGCCCGGGGACGCGAGGCCCGCGGGCGCCCCGGGGGCAGCAGCGCGCGUUCUGACCCCCGGGACUCCGCAGUGCGCGCUGCCCCCGGCCGCGCCUCCGGGUGACGAGGACGACAGCGAGCCUGUGUACAUCGAGAUGCUGGGGCACGCGGCCAGGCCCGAUAGCCCGGACCCCGGGGAGUCCGUGUACGAGGAGAUGAAGUGUUGCCUGCCCGACGACGGCGGCCCGGGCGCCGGCCCCUUCCUGCUCCACGGCGCAUCGCCGCCCCUGCUCCACCGCGCGCCGGAGGACGAGGCGACGGGGCCCCCAGGGGACGCGUGCGACAUCCCGCCGCCCUUCCCCAACCUGCUGCCGCACCGGCCGCCCCUGCUGGUGUUCCCCCCGACCCCCGUCACCUGCUCCCCCGCCUCCGACGAGUCGCCCCUGACACCCCUGGAGGUGAAGAAGCUGCCAGUCCUGGAGACCAACCUCAAGUACCCCGUGCAGUCGGAGGGGUCGAGCCCGCUGUCCCCGCAGUACUCCAAGAGCCAGAAGGGCGACGGCGACAGGCCCGCGUCCCCCGGCCUGGCGCUGUUCAACGGGUCCGGCCGAGCCUCCCCGCCGUCCACGCCGCCCCCGCCCCCGCCCGGGCCGCCCCCCGCGCCCUACAGGCCAUGCGCGCACUUGGCCUUCCCGCCGGAGCCCGCCCCGGUGAGCGCGGGGAAAGCGGGGCCGAGCGCAGAGGCGCCCAAGGUCCACCCAAAGCCAAACUCUGCCCCCGGGGCCGGGCCCUGCAGCUCCUUCCCCAAGAUCCCAUAUUCCCCCGUGAAGGCCACCAGGGCCGACGCCAGGAAGGCCGGCUCCAGUGCCUCGCCCCCCGCGCCCUACAGCCCUCCCAGCUCCAGGCCUCUCAGCAGCCCCCUGGACGAGCUUGCCAGCCUCUUCAACUCGGGGAGGAGUGUGCUUCGGAAAUCCGCGGCGGGAAGAAAAAUCAGGGAAGCCGAAGGUUUUGAAACUAACAUGAACAUAAGUAGCCGAGAUGACCCUAGUACGUCAGAAAUUACUUCCGAGACUCAAGACAGAAAUGCAAAUAACCAUGGAAUUCAGUUAUCUAAUUCACUAUCUAGUGCUAUAACUGCUGAAAAUGGAAAUUCCAUCUCAAAUGGUUUACCUGAAGAAGAUGGAUACUCACGGUUGUCUAUAAGUGGCACAGGGACUUCGACAUUUCAAAGACACAGGGACAGUCACACCACUCAGUCUCACAUUUCAGUUUCGCACCUACCAUGAUGAAAAUACAAGGGAAGGGACUCCCUCUUCCUCCCCUGCUUUGACAGCUGGACAAACACAUGUAAGAUGGGCUCAGUUAACCUACCUACGAUGGAUGCAGAGUGAGGGACAUAUAAUGGAAGGGACAACAAUUGACCUGGCUCCAUGGGGUGACAUUGGGCAGUAGUGGCUCCAUGCAGCACCAGCAGAAGAAUAUUAGUCGGAGAAGAACUUUGCUCAGAGCACGCCAGCCAUCAGCCCCUGAAUCCACCUCACCCACUCGCCAGACCUUUUUGUCGAAGUUCAUGUCCUUCCUUAGCCUUCCAAUGAAGCCUCUACCUGCCUGAGAUGUCCGAGGUAAUCCAUCAGCUGAGGCUCUCAGAGAAUGAAAGUGUGGCCCUGCAGGAACUCUUGGACUGGAGGAGAAAGCUCUGUGAGGAAGGACAAGACUGGCAGCAGAUCCUGCACCACGCUGAGCCCAGGGUGCCUCCCCCACCACCUUGCAAGAAGCCCAGCCUUCUGAAGAAGCCGGAAGGGGCCUCCUGCAACAGGCUGCCGUCUGAGCUCUGGGACACCACCAUUUGAUGUGGCCUGAACUGCAGACUUACAAAAUAGAACUGCCUACUGAUUCCGGGCUGCAACAACAGAAGGCUGCCUUCUGACAUGCGCUGGGGCUUCUCUCCACGCAUUUAGACAAAAAAAGCACAGGACACAGACACUAAAUAUAUGAGAUCCCGUGUGUGUGUGUGUGUGUGUGUGUGUGUGUUUGUGUGUGUGUGUGUGGGUUCUUUCUUAUCCAUCUUGUGGUGAUACACUCUGAUUUUCAAGCUCCUCAUUUACGGCUCUGUGCUACCCCUAGGUAGCAAGAGAGAGGCUGGGAAAAGUGUGGACGUGGCCAGAGAGAGAGAGUAGCGGAGGAAAGGAGCAAUCCAUGCACACUCUGUACAGUUGUUUUUCUACGGUUCAACAGUCUGUUUAUUGUACUUCCAAUGGUUUUAUUAUAAUACAGUAUACGGGACAUAUAUUUUAUUUCUUUGUAGCUAUUUGUGUUUUAUUGGUAUUAUAAACCUGAUAAUUAUUUACAUGUUUAUUACUGUAAUUUUAUAAAUUUAUGCAAUUGGUGGUGCUUCCUUUCUUCAAAAUACAGAUUUUAAAAAAUCAUUUCUAGAUUAUUUUUUUCCUCCACAGUCCUUUUUUUUCACCUAACGCACCUAAAUCUUGAAACUACAUUGUUGUUUUAGCUUCACCAGUGUCACCCCUUGCAAAACUAUGAAUUGAGCCCCAUGUUUUAGGUGUUACUCAUGGAUGAGGAGGCUGUUCUUUCCUAUGCCCUGUAUUUCUGGAUAAGUGGAUUGUGCACCCUUUAGUUAAAUUUCACCUCCCGACUUCAGCAUAGAUCACAGGAAAUCACAUGGCACAUGGUUAAACACGUAUGGCUUCAAAUCCAUAGCCGGUGGUGUAAAAUGAUCAUAUUCAUUCAAAGGCCUACACAGUACAAAUGAGCACGCUGCCAUGUACUGGUUUGAGCAGUAGGGGCUGCAUCGCACAGCGCUCGUCCCCCGGGACUUACACUGCAUGAUUCCCUCGCUGUAUAUCCUCAACCCUCCCAUAAUGCAAGGCCUUGUUCAUUGAUGUGCUUUCGUCGGCUGUCGGAAAGUUCUGAGCAGUGGCUCCAGACCACCUUGUCUUGCUACUUGGAACUUUUUAUUCAUACCAGCCUUUGAAAAGUUACUGUGCCAAUAAAGAGGUACAACUGUGUU
Pan troglodytes (chimpanzee) is the source of this 7267-nucleotide RNA transcript. It is a transcript of the gene named myosin XVI, with no coding region annotated. The record is from RefSeq and is a predicted model, not a curated record. NCBI's taxonomy places the organism in Eukaryota, Metazoa, Chordata, Mammalia, Primates, Hominidae. The transcript has 36 exons.